Molecule: ribosomal RNA, 569 nt
Filed under: uncultured bacterium
Lineage: Bacteria
Description: bacterial SSU rRNA
Rfam family: Bacterial small subunit ribosomal RNA
Source: RNAcentral
ACGGGUGAGUAAUACAUCGGAACGUGCCCUGUAGUGGGGGAUAACUAGUCGAAAGAUUAGCUAAUACCGCAUACGACCUGAGGGUGAAAGUGGGGGACCGCAAGGCCUCAUGCUAUAGGAGCGGCCGAUGUCUGAUUAGCUAGUUGGUGAGGUAAAGGCUCACCAAGGCGACGAUCAGUAGCUGGUCUGAGAGGACGAUCAGCCACACUGGGACUGAGACACGGCCCAGACUCCUACGGGAGGCAGCAGUGGGGAAUUUUGGACAAUGGGGGCAACCCUGAUCCAGCAAUGCCGCGUGUGUGAAGAAGGCCUUCGGGUUGUAAAGCACUUUUGUCCGGAAAGAAAUCGCACUUACUAAUAUUAGGUGUGGAUGACGGUACCGGAAGAAUAAGGACCGGCUAACUACGUGCCAGCAGCCGCGGUAAUACGUAGGGUCCAAGCGUUAAUCGGAAUUACUGGGCGUAAAGCGUGCGCAGGCGGUUGUGCAAGACCGAUGUGAAAUCCCCGGGCUUAACCUGGGAAUUGCAUUGGUGACUGCACGGCUAGAGUGUGUCAGAGGGGGGUAGAAU